GAUUAACGCUGGCGGCGUGCAUAACACAUGCAAGUCGAACGAUGAAACUUAAAUGAUUUCUUCGGAAUGAACUUAAGUGGAUUAGUGGCGGACGGGUGAGUAACGCGUGAGUAACCUGCCUUACACAAGGGGAUAGCCGUUGGAAACGACGAAUAAUACCCUAUGAAACUAUCACUUCGCAUGAAGCGAUAGUCAAAGUGUUAGCGGUGUAAGAUGGACUUGCGUCUGAUUAGCUAGUUGGUGAGAAAAAAGCCCACCAAGGCAACGAUCAGUAGCCGGCUUGAGAGAGUGUACGGCCACAUUGGGACUGAGACACGGCCCAGACUCCUGCGGGAGGCAGCAGUGGGGAAUUUUGCACAAUGGGGGAAACCCUGAUGCAGCGACGCCGCGUGAUUUAGAAGGCCUUCGGGUUGUAAAAAUCUUUUGUAUAGGAAGAAAAUGACAGUACUAUACGAAUAAGGUCCGGCUAAUUACGUG
This 477-nucleotide ribosomal RNA is filed under the name uncultured bacterium. RNAcentral describes it as "partial 16S ribosomal RNA". It matches the Rfam family "Bacterial small subunit ribosomal RNA", at positions 28 to 507 of the family's 1533-position model. The record is from RNAcentral.